Molecule: long non-coding RNA, 717 nt
Organism: Pogoniulus pusillus (Red-fronted tinkerbird)
Lineage: Eukaryota; Metazoa; Chordata; Aves; Piciformes; Lybiidae
Exons: 3
Source: RefSeq, a predicted model, not a curated record
AGACUAUUUAAACAUUUUUCUUGAGAGUAGGAAGAUUGCUGAGGUACAAUUGCUUGGUGAUUGCAGCCAAAUAGCUUCUGUAAUUUGCCCUGUCCUGCCAAGCUGUUGCUUGCUGGAAUGUGCUGCUUAAGCAGCAGUCUGCCAUAAGCAGCUCUUUCCACACAUGCUGCCAGAUCAAGCACUUUCAACUGGCAAGUUGCUUGGUAGAGGAGGAAGCUAUGGAUCUUAGUUCUUCCUAUACUGAUGAUUGUUUUAUAGAGAGAAAUUUAACUUGAAUUUUUUUUUCCUUCAGAGGCAGCCUUCAAGAAGGGAGUUUUGCAGUAAAUUGCACUGUUGAUUAGAAGAACUAAGAGCUGCUGCUGCAUUAUUAUAGCAACAAAAUUCUGGUCUUAGGACAGGGUACUAAAAUACCCUGCAGACUCAACAUUUUUGAAAUUACAUGAUAGCAUCAUGGAAGAAGAGAAAUGCUGCAGUGGUGCAAAUGUUUGAGGUGUGUCUCUUGUGCUUCUGCAAGUAAAGGAGCAUCUUGGACUUGAAUCUAUCCUGCUGUAGCUACUUGCCUGUGUGAGUGCAGACAAAAGGGAAACCUUGCAUCCAAAGUAAAAAGCUGAAUUACUGUACACUCUGGAGCUGCAGCUGUUAUGCAUUUUUGUUUGGAAAAAUUUAGACUGACUUGUACACAUUGACUGUGCAAUAUGGGCCCAGGGAACUGGCAUG